CAGAGGCUCGAAGACGAUCAGAUACCGUCCUAGUUCUGACCAUAAACGAUGCCAACUGACGAUCCGUGGUGGUAGUUUAAUAACCGUCCCCACGGGCAGCCCCCGGGAAACCUUUAAGUCUAUGGGUUCCGGGGGAAGUAUGGUUGCAAAGCUGAAACUUAAAGGAAUUGACGGAAGGGCACCACCAGGAGUGGAGCCUGCGGCUUAAUUUGACUCAACACGGGAAAACUCACCCGGGCCGGACACUGUGAGGAUUGACAGAUUGAAAGCUCUUUCUUGAUUUGGUGGUUGGUGGUGCAUGGCCGUUCUUAGUUGGUGGAGCGAUUUGUCUGGUUAAUUCCGAUAACGAACGAGACUCUAGCCUGCUAAUUAGUGCGCCUGUCCUCUGUUCCUGUGUGGCGGCUUUUGGCGCUACUGCCUUUGUAUACGAGGCUGUUCGUGCUUUUACCUGGUGCUGGUCAUCCGUUAGAUUUGCUUAGUAGUUGACAUUGCUUGGUGCUUCGGCGCCGACGUGUUGACGACGGCGGGUCUACACUGGGUGGCUGACUCGGGUGAUAAGUUACGGCAGUUAAGUUUAGGCGGUGGAGUCGGGGUUUGCUUCCGGGUACGGCGCAGGUGUCUACUUCUUAGAGGGACUAGCAUAUACAAAUGCACGAGAUUGAGCAAUAACAGGUCUGUGAUGCCCUUAGAUGUCCGGGGCCGCACGCGCGCUACAAUGACGGUGCCAACGAGUCUGACCUCCUGGCCCGAAAGGGUUGGGCAAACUGGUCAAUCACCGUCAUGUCAGGGAUCGGGGCUUGGAAUUGUUCCCCGUGAACCAGGAAUUCCUAGUAAGUGCAAGUCAUAAGCUUGCGCUGAUUACGUCCCUGCCCUUGCGAAUGGCCUCAUUAAAUCAGCUAUGGUUUGAAUGGUUUAGUAAGGUCCUUGGAUCGGUGCCAUUGUAGAGGCUACUGCAAAGUAUGUCCUCUCGACGGGCGCUGAGAAGACGACCAAAUCUUUCC
This 1001-nucleotide ribosomal RNA is filed under the name Atractolytocestus sp. DJ-2018. RNAcentral's name for it is "SSU rRNA". It matches the Rfam family "Eukaryotic small subunit ribosomal RNA", at positions 991 to 1770 of the family's 1831-position model. Lineage: Eukaryota; Metazoa; Platyhelminthes; Cestoda; Caryophyllidea; Lytocestidae. The record is from RNAcentral.